UACGGAGGGUGCAAGCGUUAUCCGGAUUUAUUGGGUUUAAAGGGUCCGUAGGCGGAUCUGUAAGUCAGUGGUGAAAUCUCACAGCUUAACUGUGAAACUGCCAUUGAUACGGCAGGUCUUGAGUGUUAUUGAAGUAGCUGGAAUAAGUAGUGUAGCGGUGAAAUGCAUAGAUAUUACUUAGAACACCAAUUGCGAAGGCAGGUUACUAAGCAACAACUGACGCUGAUGGACGAAAGCGUGGGGAGCGAACAGG
RNAcentral lists this ribosomal RNA (253 nucleotides) under uncultured bacterium. RNAcentral describes it as "partial 16S ribosomal RNA". It matches the Rfam family "Bacterial small subunit ribosomal RNA", at positions 524 to 776 of the family's 1533-position model. The record is from RNAcentral.